GGUUAGAGUCCCGCCCACUUGUUAAGCGUCGCGAGCCACUAUUCUCGGCUCUGAUUGGCCAGAGAACUCGCGCCGCUUUUGAAUCCCCACCCUGCGGACCCCGCGCGCCUCGCCUUCUCCCUCUGGUUGGCGAGCGCCUUUCUGCGCCUUCAGGCAUUUUUGCUGAGGCUUUUGUCUGCGCAUGUGCGGCGUUCCUUCACCGGGAUCUUCAUUGUCCCAUGUUGGGCGCCAGGAAUGCUGGGGUGAUCAGACCCAGCACCAGGCCAUGGGGGCUACAAAGUCUGGCAGAGUCAAAGGAAUGAGAAAAGACAAGUUAAAAGUGCAUAAGGUGGGUCCAGGGGUCCAACACUAGUAUGGAGGCUGCGAAGGCCCCGAGCUCUGGAAGCCCGUACUGUUUAUUGGUGAUCAAACAAAGAGGCAGGUGGUGAGGAUGUGGGGGUUGAAAGAAAGCACUGCAUCAAGUGCAUGAUUUACAGCUGUGACAGUUUAGCAUUUUCUUUGAAGCAUAUGGAACAUUUUCUGCUACUUGAGAUAAUGGGAAACAUGUUCUUCUAGUUUAAGAUACAAUUGAUCUAUGAGCCUGGGAAUGCUAGAAACAAGGAGCCGGCAAGUCUAGACACAUUCCAGAGGCCAUGAGGGGUUCCAUGCUCUGAGCCCUGGAUUCCAUCCAAGCCACGAGGGGUUUUAUGCCCUGGGCUUAGAUUAUGGUGCCACAGGGCAGCCUUCCACCCUUUAGCACAGAGCUUGGUGUUCCAAAGGCCAUGAGAGGUUUUAGACCCUGGACCCCAGACAUGUUCCAAGACUCUUUUACAUUAUGUCAGACAUGCAAGCCCUGCCUCAGCUUUUUUCCCAACACUCAGCUUUUCCCCAAUACCUGACCUCAGGUGAUCCACCCACCUUGGCCUCCCAAAGUGCUGGGAUUACGGGCGUGAGCCACCGUGCCCAGCCAGCUAAUUUCUUCCUGAGUAAUCUUUAUUUCUUUUUAAAUCACUCCUCAUCUGUAGCUUUUGUGUUAGUGUCCGAUUCUGAUUAUACCAUUUCGCUGAUGGAUUUGAUGGCUGCUUAAAUGGAAUAUUCCAGUGUUUAAAGAGUUCUUUAUGUACUUUUCCAG
RNAcentral lists this long non-coding RNA (1111 nucleotides) under Homo sapiens (human). Its description in RNAcentral is "HSALNT0261726". Lineage: Eukaryota; Metazoa; Chordata; Mammalia; Primates; Hominidae. The record is from RNAcentral.